AAACUUGCUAUUUGCUCUGAGAGUUCUGGGGUCUGAGCAGGGUAAAAAUUACCCCGCUGCCUGGUCUCCUCUCCCUGCUGGGCCCCUCCCAGACUCCUCUGCCACCUCCUCUGGGUCCUCUCUGGCCAGCUCAGCUUUUGUAUUUGGGCCAGGCAGGGAAAAAAGCAUUUGGCUCAGCUUCUUGUUUGUCAGGAGUCCAACAUCACCAGGGGUCUUGCCUGGUUUCAACUAUUUCCCGGUGCUUUUCCUUGCUCCGUAGUCAAGUUUCUAGCCAGGAUUUCUUGGCUCUGGGAAAGAUUGAGUGCCUGUCUGAGCCUUCUAGGCCUGUGUUUCAUUUGCAGCUGCCUGGCUCUGACUGGGUGACAGUCCCAGCUCUCCCCAGUCAGCCUAUCCCUUCUGCUUGGCCAGCAGAGGAGGCCCUUUGUGUUGGUGUCCUGGGGACUUGGGAGGGAGGAGCUCCUACUUUGUAAUGGCUGCCCAGUGUCCUGGGCUCACUGCAGCCCCGGCACAGGCUCAGGGCUGGCAUUGCCUUCCAAGAGCCAGUAAUUCGUACCUGUCUGCAAAGGUACCACUAUCAAAGGUAUGGAUCAACACUCAAACAUUGGCAGCCUACGGAGAACGUAAUCCUCAGGACAGUAACCCUCAGGCACGUUCAGUCGUAAUCUUUCAAGAAGGAAGAAGGGCCUUGUCGGCCGUGCACUUCUCUGCCUGGAGACGUCCUCACCACUGAAGCUACCAAUCUGGACCCCCUCCUUCAAAAACCCAGCCCCUUUGGAGUGCAUGUUAUCGAGAGUUUAUUGCCCACUUCUCCUAGUUAGUGUCACCAGUCAUCCCCUGGUCACUCUCUGUGUGUCCCUUGAUAAUAGCACGAGACUCUUUCUCUUCCCCUGACCUCGUCCUUGGUGACUUCAGCGGCAGGGCUGACAGGCUACCCAACACUCUGGCCCCUAAGUCCCUUCACUGCCUUAGCCCUGGCAAUAUAUUUCCCCUGCCCCACCUUAGCUUCCUGGUCAAGCCCUAGACCUUGGAACUAUGAGUGUCUACACCACGUCUAAAAUCUCAGAUUCAAACAUCCCACCACCUGCCAGCCCUCUAGCUCACUCUCUAAGUCCUUUGCACCCAAGACCUCCAAUUCAUUGUGCUACUGUUCUUUCACUAUUUAUCUCCUACCAGGUCUUUGCUUCUCAGUCAGCUGAGAUUUCAUGAUCCAGCACACAAAAUCUUCCUUGCAAACACUCUUAACUCCCUUACACUGCUCUCUCUCCAUCAUACUCACCUGGCAAACACCCAACUGUGGUUAGAUCAAACUGUUUUACUUCACACCUGCAACGGAGCGGUUGAACACCGCUGAAGAAAAUUCCCCAGCUACUCUAGAUGAACUCACUUCAAAUUUACGGCCAUAAAUUUCAAAUGGGCACUUGAACUGCUGGACAGUCCUGCUGUAGUUUCUUAGAAAAUUCCUUUUCCCUCUCCACAGAGCAACGAUUUCACACUUUCUCCUCUCUCUACAUAUUUUCAGCAACCCUUCCUCUUUCACUCUCAGUCUGACCUCAGAUUACCCUUUAUAGAGAAAAUAGGUACAAUCAGACCAACUGCCUGACCUUCCUGCCACGAAAGCCCCCAGAAUGCCCGUGGCUUUGCUUUCUCCCCGCCUCUCUGUGGUCACUCCUCCAUCUGUGCCUGGGGCCCUUUCCCCUUCCACCAGCCUUCACCUUCCUUUCCUGCACCAUCAAUCCUCUUGACUAGAUCUUUCUUAUUGAAGUAAAACAGGACUUCUUUCCCUGAACUUAAAAACAUGUUAGCCUUAGGCUCACAUCGCCUCAGGCUACAGCUCCUUUGGUCUGCCUCUCUUCAGAGAAGUUGUCUGUGUACACACACUCCUCUUCCCCAUCUCCCAAUCUCACCUCCCGCCACUCCAGCUGGGCUUUUAUCCUUACUGUUCUGUUGGCAUAGCUCUUACCAAGACUGCCAGGGACCUACAUCUCGACUAGACAGUGGCUAGUUCAGAGUCCUUGCCUUGUCUGGUCUCCCAGUGGCACUGAACGUGUUAGACCGCUCUGUGGCGGAUUGAAUUAUUGAUCCUAGUUCUUGUCACUCCUCCCUGUGUCCAUAUCCUUCUCGUUAAAGGUGGAGUAUAUUUUCUUGCCCCUUGAUUUGGGCCUGGCUGUGUGACCUGUUUGGUGAAUAAAAUACAGGAGGAAGUGACAUGGUGCCAGGUCCCAGCCUAGGUGUUGGGAGGCAUCUUAAGUUGCCUCUUGCCUAUGCCUACUUGUGCCAAUAGUAUCGCCAUGGGAAAAACUUGUCCCAACUGGCCUGCUGGUGCAAGGAUGAUGAAGGACAUGUAUGUAGAGCAGACCCAGAUCCAACUACAGCUUAGAGCUGCCCAGCAAAGGCCAGCAGCGUCUAGUUGACCCACAGUAAGGUAAGUUAAAAAAAAGUAAGGAAGUAAAAUAAGUUUUUACUGUUAUGUGCCAUUCAUAUUUUUGUUUGUUUUUUGUUGUUGUUACCCAGCAAUAUGGGACUGAUACAUCCUCCUUCUGAAAUACUUGCUUUGCUCAGUUUCCCUCUAAUCACUACUUUUUGGUUUUCCUCUAACUUUACAGGCUAUUCUUCUCAGUCUUUGCUGGCUUUCUCCCUACCAGAUCUCUAAAUGUUGGAGUAGCUUUAAUUUCAGCCCUCUCUCCUAUCUUAACUCAUUCCCUAAGAGGAAUGAUCCAGGCCACAGCUUUGAAUGUCAUCUACAUGCUGGCUCUCAAAUUUCAGCCUGAAGGAGAGAUGCCCCUGAACUCACCCUGUCUCCGUGUAGCCACCUGAUGUCUGAUAGGUCUUAGCAUGGCCAAAACAGACCUAGUGAUCCGCCCCUUUUCCCCAACCACCCAGUCAGCCUAAAAAUGGAGGCUUCACCCUUGACUGCUGCAUUCUGUCAGGUCAGUACAUCAGAGCAGCCUCCUGCACUUCCAGAACUGGUCCAGAAACCAGUACCACGUCUCCCCAGUCUCCCCAUAUGCACAGCCACACGCUAGUUCUCUCUCCUCUUGCCAGAACUUCUGCAACUAAAUCUUCAGUUUUCCUCAGCUCCUCCUAGUCUGUUCUCCACAAUGCAGCCAGAGUGAUCUUUCUAAAGGGCAAAUGAAGUAUCUUCACUUCCACCUUAAAAUCCUCCGAAGGCUUCCCCUUGUAAACAUAAUAAAAACCACACUCCUUACCUUGGCCCAUGAAGAUUAGAUCCAUGGGCCAAGUCCCAGUCCCUGACUAUGUUCCCAGUGCCCUCAAAUCUCUGUGUUCACACUGCUGCAACCACAGCAGCUGGCCUUCCUGAUGUCUCGAACAUAGCACCCGCACUCCUGCCUCAGGGCUUUUGCAUUUACUAUCCCUCCUGCUUGAAGCACUCUUCCCCAGAUCUUCAUGGGGCUGCCUACUUCCCAUCUAUAAGAUCUCAAAUGUCACCUCCUCCAAGAGGCCUUCCCUGUCUAAAUAAAGCUACAGCACCAGCCCCACCGCCCUGUGCCCCCUUACCAACACCCUUAAUUCUAUCACAUUAGUUUAGCUUCUUUGUAGUACUUAUCAACAUGUGAACUUGUUUGGCCUUGUAUCUAUUAUGUUCCUUCCCAUUAAAACACAAA
Manis javanica (Malayan pangolin) is the source of this 3623-nucleotide long non-coding RNA. RefSeq lists it as uncharacterized. The record is from RefSeq and is a predicted model, not a curated record. NCBI's taxonomy places the organism in Eukaryota, Metazoa, Chordata, Mammalia, Pholidota, Manidae.